AUACUGGUGACUUGAACUGGAAUGUGAAUGCUUUAGAGUAUGGAUUCAUUAGCAUUCCUGAUCAUGUGAGAAGUAUUACAUCUGGGACUCAGCCACAUUUGGGGGUAAUCUUCCCACAUUUCCAGUAAUCCUCUCUAUAAAGACAAAUGCAUCUAAAGCAAGACUGCAAAAGACUGGGUUGGAGCAAACAAGAGAGAAAAAGAAAGGCAAGACCAUAGUCAGAUAUGUCAGUCUGCUGCCUUUGUUGUGAUCUAUACAGCACAAGUAUGUCCUUGGAUUCAGUUUACAUAGAGAAGUAAAGGA
Molecule: long non-coding RNA, 303 nt
Organism: Mesocricetus auratus (golden hamster)
Lineage: Eukaryota; Metazoa; Chordata; Mammalia; Rodentia; Cricetidae
Exons: 3
Source: RefSeq, a predicted model, not a curated record